UAUUUGCUGAUUUUCUUAAUUGAGGAUCUAUGGUAAUAAACGGUUUUUGUAAUAAACGUUUGGACCUGGGGGCGGUUCCCAGCACCUCCACCAAUUUUUAAAAUCAAUAUAUUGUGGUUUUUAUUAGGGGGUGAAUAGCUUUCGACAAUCACUAAAGGAAAAUUUUUUACUCGGUUGAGAAACUGCCGAUUGUUUGGUUAUGCCAAUCAAUAUCCGUUCAAAAACAAUAAACGCAAACGAUAACUAUAAUCUUGCGAAUGAUAAUUUCGAAUUUCAACAAGUGGCAAUUGCUGCUUAGUUGAUAAGUGAAUUAUCGGGGUUUGCUUGGCACCUGUCAACAGAAGCCAAGCGUUAAUACUAAUUUACAAUAACAAUGUCUAACAAGAUAC
RNAcentral lists this transfer-messenger RNA (389 nucleotides) under Alphaproteobacteria bacterium. The stretch from base 6 to 352 matches the Rfam family "Alphaproteobacteria transfer-messenger RNA", at positions 37 to 355 of the family's 355-position model. From Rfam's summary of the family: Bacterial tmRNA, also known as 10Sa RNA or SsrA, is named for its dual tRNA and mRNA-like properties. Its role is to liberate the mRNA from a stalled ribosome. The record is from RNAcentral. Lineage: Bacteria; Pseudomonadati; Pseudomonadota; Alphaproteobacteria.